This 105-nucleotide ribosomal RNA is filed under the name Linaeidea sp. HS-23. Its description in RNAcentral is "partial 28S ribosomal RNA". Lineage: Eukaryota; Metazoa; Arthropoda; Insecta; Coleoptera; Chrysomelidae. The record is from RNAcentral.
AAGAGAUAGCUAAUCGCCCUGCGAUGAUGCGCGGAAAAAAGGCUCAGCGGUCAGCUCGAAGAUGACGUCGUCGUAGAACGAACCGUACCCACUCAUUAUAUCGCC